CCUACGGGGGGCAGCAGUGAGGAAUAUUGGUCAAUGGACGAGAGUCUGAACCAGCCAAGUAGCGUGAAGGAUGAAUGCCCUAUGGGUUGUAAACUUCUUUUAUAUGGGAAUAAAAUGUUCCACGUGUGGGAUUUUGUAUGUACCAUAUGAAUAAGGAUCGGCUAACUCCGUGCCAGCAGCCGCGGUAAUACGGAGGAUCCGAGCGUUAUCCGGAUUUAUUGGGUUUAAAGGGAGCGUAGGUGGAUUGUUAAGUCAGUUGUGAAAGUUUGCGGCUCAACCGUAAAAUUGCAGUUGAAACUGGCAGUCUUGAGUACAGUAGAGGUGGGCGGAAUUCGUGGUGUAGCGGUGAAAUGCUUAGAUAUCACGAAGAACUCCGAUUGCGAAGGCAGUUCACUGGACUGCAACUGACACUGAGGCUCGAAAGUGUGGGUAUCAAACAGGAUUAGAUACCCCAGUAGUC
RNAcentral lists this ribosomal RNA (460 nucleotides) under uncultured bacterium. Its description in RNAcentral is "partial 16S ribosomal RNA". It matches the Rfam family "Bacterial small subunit ribosomal RNA", at positions 338 to 795 of the family's 1533-position model. The record is from RNAcentral.